RNAcentral lists this ribosomal RNA (253 nucleotides) under uncultured bacterium. RNAcentral's name for it is "partial 16S ribosomal RNA". It matches the Rfam family "Bacterial small subunit ribosomal RNA", at positions 524 to 776 of the family's 1533-position model. The record is from RNAcentral.
UACAGAGGGUGCGAGCGUUGUUCGGAAUUAUUGGGCGUAAAGGGCGCGUAGGCGGUGCGGUAAGUCACCUGUGAAAUCUCCUGGCUCAACUGGGAGCUUGCAGGCGAAACUGCCGUGCUGGAGUGUGGGAGAGGUGCGUGGAAUUCCUGGUGUAGCGGUGAAAUGCGUAGAUAUCAGGAGGAACACCUGUGGCGAAAGCGGCGCACUGGACCACAACUGACGCUGAUGCGCGAAAGCUAGGGGAGCAAACAGG